Molecule: long non-coding RNA, 1308 nt
Filed under: Lonchura striata (white-rumped munia)
Lineage: Eukaryota; Metazoa; Chordata; Aves; Passeriformes; Estrildidae
Description: domestica (Bengalese finch) lncRNA (ENSLSDG00000006915.1)
Source: RNAcentral
AUGCAGCUUUCCCCACGCCUCCCCGCUCCCAGCUGCGGGAUCUCUGUAUUUCCAUGGAUCUGCAGCGGAUUUCUGCAUCCCAUGGAUCUCCACUGGAUCUCUGCAUCCCAUGGAUCUCCACUGGAUCUCUGCAUCCCAUGGAUCUGCAGGGGAUCUCUGCAUCUCAUGGAUCUCCACUGGAUCUCUGCACCCCCAUGGAUCUGCAGGGGAUCUCUGCAUCCCAUGGAUCUCCACUGGAUCUCUGCAUCCCAUGGAUCUGCAGGGGAUCUCUGCAUCCCAUGGAUCCGCACUGGAUCUCUGCAUCCCCAUGGAUCUGCAGGAGGAUUUCUGCAUCCCCAUGGAAUCUCUGCAUCCCCAUGGAUCUGCACUGGAUCUCUGCAUCCCAUGGAUCUGCACUGGAUCUCUGCAUCCCAUGGAUCUCCACUGGAUCUCUGCAUCCCCAUGGAUCUGCAGGGGAUCUCUGCAUCCCUAUGGAAUCUCUGCAUCCCAUGGAUCCGCAGGGAAUCUCUGUAUUUCCAUGGAUCCAUACUGGAUCUCUGCAUCCCCAUGGAUCUCCACUGGAUUUCUGCAUCCCCAUGGAUCUGCAGGGGAUUUCUGCAUCCCCAUGGAAUCUCUGCAUCCCAUGGAUCUCCACUGGAUCUCUGCAUCCCAUGGAUCUCCACUGGAUCUCUGCAUCCCCAUGGAUCUGCAGGGGAUCUCUGCAUCCCUAUGGAUCUGCACUGGAUCUCUGCAUCCCAUGGAUCCGCAGUGGAUCUCUGCAUCCCAUGGAUCUGCACUGGAUCUCUGCAUCCCCAUAGAUCUCCACUGGAUCUCUGCAUCCCAUGGAUCCGCAGUGGAUCUCUGCAUCCCAUGGAUCUGCACUGGAUCUCUGCAUCCCAUGGAUCCGCAGGGGAUUUCUGCAUCCCCAUGGAUCUGCAGGGGGUCUCUGCAUCCCAUGGAUCUCCACUGGAUUUCUGCAUCCCAUGGAUCUGCAGGAGGAUUUCUGCAUCCCCAUGGAAUCUCUGCAUCCCAUGGAUCUCCACUGGAUCUCUACAUCCCCAUGGAAUCUCUGCAUCCCCAUGGACCUGCACUGGAUCUCUGCAUCCCCAUGGAUCUCCACUAGAUCUCUGCAUCCCAUGGAUCUGCACUGGAUCUCUGCAUCCCAUGGAUCUGCAGGGGAUCUCUGCAUCCCUGGAUCUCCACUGGAUUUCUGCAUCCCAUGGAUCUCCACUGGAUCUCUGCAUCCCAUGGAUCUGCAGGGGAUCUCUGCACCCCCAUGGACCUGCAGGGGGAUUGUGGCAGUCCAGGGCGUCGCUUUGGCUGCCCUGA